GUUGGAUUUACUGAGGCCUGUUGUUCUCAUAUUUGUAUGGAUUAUACCAGAUCUAAGUUGAUUACUGGAAAAGGAUACAAUAUAGCAAAACGUAUUAAAAUAAGAAUACUCACCACCUAGCCAAAGGCUGACUCACAUCAAGUCUGGAGAAGCUAGAGCUUUUGGAUACCUUUGAUAUAACUGAAUCAUUUUACACUCCUUGUGCUGUGAUUCUUCAAAAUGUGCCAAUCUCACACUUGUAUUUCCUCCUCACACCUGGAAUCAGCAUCUUCUCCAAG
Molecule: long non-coding RNA, 278 nt
Organism: Choloepus didactylus (southern two-toed sloth)
Lineage: Eukaryota; Metazoa; Chordata; Mammalia; Pilosa; Megalonychidae
Exons: 3
Source: RefSeq, a predicted model, not a curated record